Molecule: ribosomal RNA, 287 nt
Filed under: uncultured Synergistaceae bacterium
Lineage: Bacteria; Thermotogati; Synergistota; Synergistia; Synergistales; Synergistaceae
Description: partial 16S ribosomal RNA
Rfam family: Bacterial small subunit ribosomal RNA
Source: RNAcentral
GCGCAACCCCUCGCAUUCAGUGCCAUCGGGUGAAGCCGGCACUCUGGAAGGACUGCCAUCGACAAGAUGGAGGAAGGUGGGGACGACGUCAAGUCAUCAUGGCCCUUAUGUCCAGGGCGACACACGUGCUACAAUGGCCGGCACAACGGGAAGCGAGUUCGCGAGGACGAGCGGAUCCCUUAAAGCCGGUCGCGGUUCGGAUUGAAGUCUGCAACUCGACUUCAUGAAGCUGGAAUCGCUAGUAAUCGCAGAUCAGCCAAGCUGCGGUGAGUACGUUCCCGGGCCUU